UACGAAGGGGGCUAGCGUUGUUCGGAAUCACUGGGCGUAAAGCGCACGUAGGCGGAUCUUUAAGUCAGGGGUGAAAUCCCGAGGCUCAACCUCGGAACUGCCUUUGAUACUGGGGAUCUCGAGUCCGGGAGAGGUGAGUGGAACUGCGAGUGUAGAGGUGAAAUUCGUAGAUAUUCGCAAGAACACCAGUGGCGAAGGCGGCUCACUGGCCCGGAACUGACACUGAGGCACGAAAGCGUGGGGAGCAAACAGG
This 253-nucleotide ribosomal RNA is filed under the name uncultured bacterium. RNAcentral describes it as "partial 16S ribosomal RNA". It matches the Rfam family "Bacterial small subunit ribosomal RNA", at positions 524 to 776 of the family's 1533-position model. The record is from RNAcentral.